GAUGAAGAACGCAGCGAAAUGCGAUAAGUAAUGUGAAUUGCAGAAUUCAGUGAAUCAUCGAAUCUUUGAACGCACCUUGCGCUCUUUGGUAUUCCGAAGAGCAUGCCUGUUUGAGUGUCAUGAAAAUAUCAACCUUGACUUGGGUUUUGUGCUCUAGUCUCGGCUUGGAAUUGGGUGCUUGCCGCUUUUACGAGCGGCUCACCUUAAAUGUAUUAGCUGGAUCUGUCUAUGAGACUUGGUUUGACUUGGCGUAAUAAGUAUUUCGCUAAGGACAUUCUUCGGAGUGGCCUCGUUUCUAGGACGCUUGUCCGCUUUCCAAUACAAGUUCCACCUCGUGGACAUGACUUUUUAUUAUCUGGCCUCAAAUCAGGUAGGACUACCCGCUGAACUUAAGCAUAUCAAUAAGCGGAGGA
RNAcentral lists this unclassified non-coding RNA (413 nucleotides) under soil metagenome. RNAcentral's name for it is "partial contains 5.8S ribosomal RNA, internal transcribed spacer 2, and large subunit ribosomal RNA". The stretch from base 1 to 120 matches the Rfam family "5.8S ribosomal RNA", at positions 35 to 154 of the family's 154-position model. The record is from RNAcentral.